Long non-coding RNA from Lynx canadensis (Canada lynx), 1068 nucleotides. RefSeq lists it as uncharacterized. Lineage: Eukaryota; Metazoa; Chordata; Mammalia; Carnivora; Felidae. The transcript has 5 exons. The record is from RefSeq and is a predicted model, not a curated record.
CGGCGGCCGGCGGAGACGCGGGUGGCCGGCGAUGGCCGCGGUGGGGGCCGGCUGGGGCCCAGCCCACGGAGGCCGGCGGAAGGCGGUGGCCGAAGAGCCGCGCCCCUUGUGGAGCGCAUGCUGUGUGACCCGCGCCUGUCUUUCCCGCCGCCGCCCCGCCAGGGCCCAUCUCAGGUUCGACCGGCUGUGUUUCAAGAGCUCAGCAAGCACGUGUCUCCUGCAUUGGACCCUGCAAUGCUAGUUGGGGAGACAGAAAAGAAAUGAAGCGGAUUCCACAUCAAGUGGUGGAAAGGGUGUACCCGGUGUAGAUGCUCAGCCCUGGGGAUACAACAGUGACCAUGCUAGAACGGGCAUCUGCCCUCACGGAAGUCCCAGUCAACCUGUGGGUACAGGCUUAAGAGGGCAACUCCAACAUCGACUGGGUGUGCAACCUUGGGUCUCCCUUCUCUCUGGAGCCCCGGUGGGGUGCCCUGUGCAUCCCCACAGCCUGUGUGUGGACGUUCCUCUAGAAUGCAGACCGUGCAUCCUGUGAAAGUCCCCCCGGCGGUGAGCGUCACAAGGGCACGGUACAUCUAUUAUCUGCCCUCUGUCUCCAGCUCUCUGCACAUCGCUUGGCAUUUGCUUUAAAAUGAUCUGCCAGCCCCGGGAGGGGCACUCAGUCCUUCCAUGAUCAGGUAGGCGCCAGCUGUCAAGACGUCCUGAUACACAAGACAUGCUUGGAGCACAGAGGAUUUUCAGGGCAGUGAGGUACUCUGUAUGAGGCCAUAAUGAUGGGUACAGGUCAUCAAGCAUUUGCUCAAACCCAUAAAACGUCCAACACCAGGAGUGGACCCGAACGUAAACUAUGGACUUUGGAUGACAAUGCUGUCAGCACAGGCCCGUCGAUGGUAACAAAUGCACCCUUUGGUGCGGGAUGUUGAUAACCAGGGAAUAUCCAUUUGGGGCAAAUAUCCAUUUGGGGCAAAGGGUAUAUGGGAGAUCUCUGUACCUUCCCCCCAGUUUUGCUGGGAAAAUUGAACUGCCCAGAAAAAAAAGUCUUAAUAAACAUAAGAAAGAAUCAGGACAAAA